RNAcentral lists this ribosomal RNA (252 nucleotides) under uncultured bacterium. RNAcentral's name for it is "partial 16S ribosomal RNA". It matches the Rfam family "Bacterial small subunit ribosomal RNA", at positions 524 to 776 of the family's 1533-position model. The record is from RNAcentral.
UACGUAGGUGGCAAGCGUUAUCCGGAUUUAUUGGGCGUAAAGGGAACGCAGGCGGUCUUUUAAGUCUGAUGUGAAAGGCAGUGGCUCAACCAUUGUAUGCAUUGGAAACUGGUAGACUUGAGUGCAGGAGAGGAGAGUGGAAUUCCAUGUGUAGCGGUGAAAUGCGUAGAUAUAUGGAGGAACACCGGUGGCGAAAGCGGCUCUCUGGCCUGUAACUGACACUGAGGCUCGAAAGCGUGGGGAGCAAACAGG